AAGGAGGCCCUAAAUGGCGGACAAAGAUACCACAAGCCAAUCUCAAAUUUAUCCUCAAGACUUCCCCCUCCCAUACUUAAAGAAGCUUGUCAAGGCAUUGUCCCAAAUAAAGACAGUUCCCUAAGUGGAACUCUACCACCACUGAGCCUCAGAGAAGAUAAAUUCACAGCUUACAUAUCUUGAAAAUGCAGGCAAACAGAAAGGGAAGGCCAG
Molecule: long non-coding RNA, 213 nt
Organism: Tupaia belangeri chinensis (Chinese tree shrew)
Lineage: Eukaryota; Metazoa; Chordata; Mammalia; Scandentia; Tupaiidae
Exons: 3
Source: RefSeq, a predicted model, not a curated record